UUAGUUAGUUGUAAUCCAUGAAAUUUCAUUCAACAGUAUUGACAGUUUCACAUGUUUCAGUUUCAACAAAUGAAUUAACCAAAGGGUGCUUUUGUUAAGUACUAAUAACUUCCAACACAUCUGAAACUAGUUUGGGUAGUCAAACAGAAGUCUGCAUCAUUUUCUCCGUCGUGGAUCCCGACUAAGCCCGUAUUUAUGCACCAAUCACAAGUGAGGUUUCAUUAGACAUAGAUGAAGAGGAGAAGGAAACUGCCCUUUUCAGCCAUACUGAGAAGCUUGCUGAUGCCUUUGGACUAAUCACUAUUCCCCUAUCUUCUCCAUUCAGAAUAAUAAUAUACACACUAUUUUCAUACUUCACUCUGCCUCUAUUUUGUGACUCAAUCAGUGACUUGAACAUUAAAGUGCUAAUCUUACCGAUGCACUACGCGCUGUCGCACCGGAGACUUGGACCACCGCAUCAGGAGUCCACCACCACAAUUCAACCAUAACUCUAGUUCCCACGCGGAAUAGAAAAGUUAUUUCAUCAAUUGUUUUUGCUUGCAACCUUCACCAUUAUUGUUUCAGGUAGAAGUAGAAUUUGCCAAUGGUAGUGUAUUCAAGUUGUCUGCUGAAUUUCUCAGAAGAAGUAGCCCUGAAGUUGAUGAAAAAUCAGAUCAAUUAGAGAUUGAUUUGAUUCUUUUCUAAUGAUACUUCUAUUACACUCUACUGAAGAAAGAAGAGUUAGUUGAACAUGGUUAGUAACAACUGCCACAUGUCAAUUUUAGUUAGAGAGCUAGUUACUACCGCUGUAAUCCUCAAUUUCUUUUUCUGAUAUCACAUCCCUUUUCCCUUGUAUAUAAUUGAAAAUGAAUUCA
This is a long non-coding RNA of Lathyrus oleraceus (garden pea), 854 nucleotides long. RefSeq lists it as uncharacterized. NCBI's taxonomy places the organism in Eukaryota, Viridiplantae, Streptophyta, Magnoliopsida, Fabales, Fabaceae. The record is from RefSeq and is a predicted model, not a curated record. The transcript is spliced from 2 exons.